UAAUUAGGACUCAUCAGGGCUUCAGGUUUCUCUCCUAUGAAUAUAAGGGAGUUUUUUAAAAGACAUUUCUCUGUCUGACAUGAACUUGCUAAAUCCUAACAAUAUCCUUAAACUAGUAGUCAAUCAGUUCUCUAGGUAGCAAGGUCAGCAGAAAGCAUGUCUCUCUCUCUCUCUCUCUCUCUCUCUCUCUCUCUCUCUCUCUCUCACACACACACACACACACACACACCUUCUGCCACACUGACUCCACCUCCUUAGAUGGUCCCUGAGCCAAGCCGCCCUUCUGAAUCCCUGCUUCCUUCCUCGUUCUUCACUUGUGAUAUGACACAGGCUCUCAUUCCCACGGAAGCCUGUUGCAGCCAUCUCAGAAAAGCAUCUCACAGCCUCCGGUAUCACUUCUCUGUGACUGAGAAACAAAUCCAGCAGAUUAAACAAGACAACACCCUCUCAGCUCUGGGGGCCAGAACUUGGACAUGGCAGCAUCAGAAGGGUCUUAUUGAACUUGAAGCUCACUGAUGGGAUAGAGUGACCCUCCGCAUUCUCCUGCCCCAUGCUGGGAUUUCACGUACACCUGGCCUGGAUUUUUAUGAAGCCUACCAAGAGCUAAGAUCGCAAGUGUGUGCCACCAUCCCUGAUGUCUGUGACCUCACAGCAAAGUCUACCUGAUCCCAAGUCCAUGAUUUUGAAGAACUUGAGGCCCAGGAAAUCGAAGAGAGCUUUUGAGAUUACAAUUACUAUGUACUGAUACUGAGUUUUCAGAAGACGCUGGCAACCAAGAGCUAGCUAGAUACUGUUGGUUAUUGUUGCCUUGGAAACUCUCAGCUAUCCUGGCACAUCUUUUGUGAGUCCUACAUGGCUGUCCAAUAAAUGUCAUCCCAUUGCAUUUUCUCUCCUCUUCCCUCCACACACGGAGCACCCUCUUCUCCCUUUAUGUACAUGCUGCUGGGAACUGUGGGAAACCAUAUACGGUUGUGACUCCAGGUACUGGGGAGGAAGCCGCCUGUGGGUACAAUCAAGCUGCUUUGUAGGCAUGCAUGUAUGAUAGCACCAAAGAAUAGAUGUAAACAGUGUAUAAUAUGAAUUAAAAUAUUUUACUUAAUGAAAUCAUUUAAAAAACAGUCACCC
Cricetulus griseus (Chinese hamster) is the source of this 1125-nucleotide non-coding RNA. The record is from RefSeq and is a predicted model, not a curated record. NCBI's taxonomy places the organism in Eukaryota, Metazoa, Chordata, Mammalia, Rodentia, Cricetidae.